Molecule: long non-coding RNA, 962 nt
Filed under: Pongo abelii (Sumatran orangutan)
Lineage: Eukaryota; Metazoa; Chordata; Mammalia; Primates; Hominidae
Description: lincRNA
Source: RNAcentral
ACAGUUUGUUUCUGUCUCUUAAGUGAUGUGUGAGGACAGAUUGCCCUCAGCUUUAAGGGCAAUUCAGGAUGAUCUGUCUUAAAAUCGAUGCUCUGAGGAAUGAGAAAAAUGCUCUCUGCAGGGCAUGCCCACUCCAUGUGCUGGGAGGCUCUCCUACAUCAAAUGGGCAGAUGCGCAUCCCCACAGAGGCCCCAAGCCUCGCUGUGAGCCAGGGCUGCUUCAAACAUGUCAGCUAUCUAAGGUCCAGCAUCUUCCAGUGACUCUGCAGGCAGAGGUGGGCCCCCGUGCUGGAUGGCGGGAGGUUCCACAUCAUUACUUGGCCCUGAGAGCUGAGCUGUAGCCUCCUGGUCUGGAGGCUGUAGCCUGCAUGUCUGGAGGCUUAACAGAGACAUUGAGCAAAUCUGAAUGCUGAGUUUGAUGGUAACCUGGAGGUGAAACGGUGACUUCAUGAUGUUCUGGAGGCUGAGCUGGGGUCUCCUGCUGGGCUGGAGAAGAUUCAACCUCCCCAGAAGACUCAGAAGGCUGAGCUAGCUGCUCCUGCUCACUGGGGGAAAGUUCAGGCUCUACAGGAGGACCUGGAGGCUCAGCUGGGGCCUCCUCUUGGUUUGCAGAAGGUUCCAUUUCUUCUGGAGGCUGAGCUGGGGUCUCCUGCUGGGUCUGAGAAGAUUCAACCUCCCCAGAAGACUCAGAAGGCUGAGCUGGCUGCUCCUGCUCACUAAUGGAAAGUUCACGCUCCAUAGGAUGACAUGGAGGCUCAGUUGGGGCCUCCUGUUGGGUUGCAGAAGGUUCCACCUCCUCUGAAAACUGAACUGGGGCCUCCUGCUGGGCUUGGGAAGAUUCUGUCUCAUUAGUAGGCUCCGAAGUUAUGGUAACCUCCACAUCUGCAGGUUUAACUCUGAUGUUGGCCAAGUUAUAAUGAGCUUGAUCCUCACCUGGAGGUUGAACUGUCACCUCAUGAUUUG